AACGCGAAGAACCUUACCUGGGCUCGAAAUGUAGUCGCCAGCCUGAGAGAUCAGGUCUUCCCGCAAGGGACGGCUGCAUAGGUGCUGCAUGGCUGUCGUCAGCUCGUGUCGUGAGAUGUUGGGUUAAGUCCCGCAACGAGCGCAACCCUUACCGUUAGUUGCUCGCCCGCAAGGGAAGCACCCUAACGGAACCGCCUCAGACAAUGGGGAGGAAGGUGGGGAUGACGUCAAGUCCUCAUGGCCUUUAUGUCCAGGGCUACACACGUGCUACAAUGGCCGGUACAAAGCGUCGCGAACCCGCGAGGGGGAGCCAAUCGCAAAAAGCCGGUCUCAGUUCGGAUUGCAGGCUGCAACUCGCCUGCAUGAAGCCGGAAUCGCUAGUAAUCGCGUAUCAGAACGACGCGGUGAAUACGUUCCCGGGCCUUGUACACACCGACGCGUA
This 442-nucleotide ribosomal RNA is filed under the name uncultured bacterium. Its description in RNAcentral is "bacterial SSU rRNA". It matches the Rfam family "Bacterial small subunit ribosomal RNA", at positions 958 to 1399 of the family's 1533-position model. The record is from RNAcentral.